GCAUAGCAGAGCCUGAGGGCAGAGACUCCUUUAGGAACUCUGCCUUGACUUCCACCAGGAACUGAGGCAUUGGCGGUGGCUGCUCACCAGGGACACCAAAGGGAGCCUAGAAGAGAUGGGGUUUCAUUUCUGCCCAAGCCUCCUGCUCAACUCCCUUGAAUGGGACUAUGGAUCUGUAUUCGCAAUCUGAAUCUUGUCGAGAAAUCCUAUGCAGUAAAACCUGAAUUCGUGAGUCCGG
Molecule: long non-coding RNA, 238 nt
Organism: Suricata suricatta (meerkat)
Lineage: Eukaryota; Metazoa; Chordata; Mammalia; Carnivora; Herpestidae
Exons: 3
Source: RefSeq, a predicted model, not a curated record